GGGAUUAGUUUUUGUUACUUCUAUCUCCUGGAAGGUUAGCCGUGACUUUUUUCUUCUUCCCAUUUUUUUGUUUCUGUCCUUUCCAUUUUUAACAGGAGAGAAGUCAUCCUCGUUAGCUUGAUUCUUUUGUUCUAUUUGGAGUAGAUCUUCAAGAAUGGUAACCGUGACUCUAUUUGGAGAGGUGACCUCAAAAUGUUACUCUACUCCCUUCCUUUCCUGCUCUGCCUCUGGUUGCUUUUGUGCUGGAUCCCAAUUAAGAUCAACCACCAAGUCAAGCCUUGGCAUGGCCUUAACCUUAGAUGGUAUACUUGAGGACCUCUCUGAACUUACAUGGGUCGUGUUACAUUACCUCUGCCCUCUACAUUUAUCUCAUUUUCAUGGUUAUUGGUAGAGUCUUGGACGACCUCAUUAGAACUGUAGGUGGCAUCCUUCUUUGGACACAUGCUUUCAAUAGUAUUUUCCUGCCGGCCAUUAUUAUCUUUAUCUUCAUUGGAGUCAUUCUUAAGGUUCCCUGCUUGUUUCUUUUCAAUCUCUUGUUCACAAUGUUGCUCGAUAACCCUUGCCAAAUUACUUUGUCCCUCUUUAUUUUUACUUGCAGGUUGCUGGAUGAUGGAUUUAAACACCACUUUGAAUUUUUUCUUAGGGAGCCUCUUUUGCUUGCCCGCCUUCUUCUCUUUAGAAGUCCUUGCAUUGAUGGUUUGAUUUUGCUGUUGCACACUCUGUUCU
Molecule: long non-coding RNA, 726 nt
Filed under: Nicotiana tabacum (common tobacco)
Lineage: Eukaryota; Viridiplantae; Streptophyta; Magnoliopsida; Solanales; Solanaceae
Description: long non-coding RNA (NTAB_LNC002771)
Source: RNAcentral